RNAcentral lists this ribosomal RNA (461 nucleotides) under uncultured soil bacterium. Its description in RNAcentral is "bacterial SSU rRNA". It matches the Rfam family "Bacterial small subunit ribosomal RNA", at positions 26 to 488 of the family's 1533-position model. The record is from RNAcentral.
AGAGUGAACGCUGGCGGUAGGCCUAACACAUGCAAGUCGAACGGCAGCACAGUGGUAGCAAUACCAUGGGUGGCGAGUGGCGGACGGGUGAGGAAUACAUCGGAAUCUACCUUUUCGUGGGGGAUAACGUAGGGAAACUUACGCUAAUACCGCAUACGCCCUUCGGGGGAAAGCCGGGGAUCGCAAGACCUGGCGCGGAUAGAUGAGCCGAUGUCGGAUUAGCUAGUUGGUGAGGUAAUGGCUCACCAAGGCGACGAUCCGUAGCUGGUCUGAGAGGAUGAUCAGCCACACUGGAACUGAGACACGGUCCAGACUCCUACGGAGGCAGCAGUGGGAAUAUUGGACAAUGGGCGCAAGCCUGAUCCAGCCAUACCGCGUGGGUGAAGAAGGCCUUGGUUGUAAGCCCUUUGUAGGAAAGAAAGCAAUCGUUAAGUACCGUUGUUCGUAGACGUACCAAAGAA